RNAcentral lists this long non-coding RNA (299 nucleotides) under Selaginella moellendorffii. Its description in RNAcentral is "long non-coding RNA (SMOE_LNC000182)". Lineage: Eukaryota; Viridiplantae; Streptophyta; Lycopodiopsida; Selaginellales; Selaginellaceae. The record is from RNAcentral.
UGUAAGCAACUAAAUUUUCCAUUCUACUUUAGUCACUUAACCACACCUCUGACCACUUGGAGGAGUCUCAUUCACAACCUCCAUAAGUCCAAUCCAGGACUUGGGACUUGCUAGCCCCGAGAAUGGCAUCUAUGCCACUCAACAUUUGCACUUGGUCCAAGUGCUCCACGUGUCCGAUCCCAUGACCGACACUCAAAGGUACCACCGACAUAGCAGCCCGUUACGCUAAGGCCAUGCCCAAUCACCUUUGCCACACUGGUAGUCCAAUACCACUUGCAUCACAGUCUUGGCUCUCCAAG